AUGAAAUCUCUGUUGCUUUUCCUUUUCCUGUUCUCUACCCCCACCAGUGUCCUCUGUCAGGUGCAGCUGGUCCAGUCCGGCUCGGGGGCGGUAAAGCCCGGAGAGACCCUCACACUGACCUGCGCUGUCUCUGGGUUCUCCAUCACUACUCAGUAUUACUAUUGGCACUGGAUCCGGCAGCCCCCUGGGAAAGGGCUGGAGUGGAUGGGGUAUGUGUACCCGUAUAGUAGCGGGAGCACAAGCUACGCCCCGUCUCUCCAAGGCCGAAUCACCAUCUCUGCGGACACUGCCAAGAGCCAGUUCUCCCUGCAGUUCCGCUCGCUGACAGCUGCAGACACCGCCACCUAUUACUGCGCCAGAGACACAGUGACACAGAGCACAGCGGGACUGGCACGAAAAAGGGAAGCAGUUUCUAAAUAG
Molecule: non-coding RNA, 420 nt
Organism: Terrapene triunguis (Three-toed box turtle)
Lineage: Eukaryota; Metazoa; Chordata; Testudines; Emydidae
Source: the annotation of a RefSeq genome assembly